This 470-nucleotide ribosomal RNA is filed under the name uncultured bacterium. Its description in RNAcentral is "bacterial SSU rRNA". It matches the Rfam family "Bacterial small subunit ribosomal RNA", at positions 30 to 483 of the family's 1533-position model. The record is from RNAcentral.
AUUGAACGCUGGCGGCAUGCCUUACACAUGCAAGUCGAACGGCAGCACGGACUUCGGUCUGGUGGCGAGUGGCGAACGGGUGAGUAAUGUAUCGGAACGUACCUUUCAGUGGGGGAUAACGUAGCGAAAGUUACGCUAAUACCGCAUAUUCUGUGAGCAGGAAAGCAGGGGAUCGCAAGACCUUGCGCUGAUUGAGCGGCCGAUAUCAGAUUAGCUAGUUGGUGGGGUAAAGGCCUACCAAGGCGACGAUCUGUAGCGGGUCUGAGAGGAUGAUCCGCCACACUGGAACUGAGACACGGUCCAGACUCCUACGGGAGGCAGCAGUGGGGAAUUUUGGACAAUGGGGGCAACCCUGAUCCAGCCAUGCCGCGUGAGUGAAGAAGGCCUUCGGGUUGUAAGACGUCUUUCGGUCCGGGUAACGGAAAGUACGCACAGGCGUAAUAACCCUCGUGUGGAUGACGGUACCGGAA